AGCACAAUGGCUGGCACUCUAAGGAAGCCGGACUCAUCCCGUGCAGGCCGCAUACACACUCCACUGCCCUUCUGGCCAAAGAAGCCCGGACACGGGAGAGGGAUGGGAGUCGGGGAUGCCUAGCGGCGGGGAGGGAAGGGAUAGGCAAAAGGGAAGAAGAGCGGGCUGUGAUACCCCCUCGACGCCGUCAAACACUGCUCCCCGCGCUCCAGAGCCCGGGGCCCACCCGACGGCAGCGCGCCCCGCCACCGCGCGGCCGCCCCGGUCCCUUCUCCCGCCCGUCUGUAGUAAAACAAUCGCUCUCCCGGCGUCUGCGGCCGCUGCCAGCGGUUCUGACACUGCAGGAAUGCGCGGUCUGGGGAAGGCUCCGCACUCUGGGGAGGGGCACGAGCGGGGUCGGGGAAGCUCCAAGAUGAAAGCGUGCAAUAACUACCAAUAUGGAUACCUCGCAGGGCCUGACACUAGCUUCUGGAUAAAAUGCAGGCGAUGGCUGCUGGCGGAUGCCGGCAGACACACUCAAAGGCCCUCUUGGACUUUCCGAGUUUCCCAUUCUCCUCUACUGGAGGCUGAGGCGGGCAGGCCCAGCGACGUCUCCCAGCCCCAACUGGGUUCGGACCUCAAGCCAAAAAUGAGGGGCCGGCAGGAGAGCUUUUCUCGCCCAAAGAUGCUGGGUGGAAGCCGGAUCCAGCUGAAAAAUCUGAGUGAGAAGGUUUCAGGCCCAGGAGGACUUGAGAUAAUACAGGAAAAUUCAAGAGGCUGAAAUGAGAAGGGUCCCUGGGGUCUUGUGAAAAAUUAUUAAUUUAUCUUGUCUACUGUGCAUAGGCCUGUGCUUAUAGAAGUUGUCAAUAAAAAGUCUAAUAAUUCAUGAAUACACACAACUAAGAGCACAAGAACUGUAAUUAUCGAAGGAAGGCACUGGAAAAAGCAUGUUGGCUUGGAGAACCCCAAGUACUUUUGUCUGAUGGCAAAGUACCUCUGGGCUGAACUGAGGACUUCAACCUGGAAGGGGCAGGGAGCUUCUCUUUUGCUCGUUUAUGCAUUCAUUCCACAGACAUUUCAACCAUGAGAAGGAUGGAAACAGGAAUAAUGUCCCAAUGAGAUGAGAAGAAGCAUUGGCCUAUUUGCCUUUGUGGGAGCAAGAGACAGAGGAUGUCUUCCUGUAAGAAAUCAUAAGGCCAGGCAUGGUGGCUCACACCUAUAAUCCCAACAUGUUGGAAAGCUGAGGCAGGAGGAUCAUUUGAGGCCAGGAGUUCAAGACCAGCCUAGGCAACAUAGUGAGACCCCAUCUCUAUUAAACAAAAAUUAGCCAGGCAUGGUGGCCCAUCCUGGUAGCCCCAGCUACACUGGAGGAUGAGGUGGGAGGAUCGCUUGAGCCCAAGAGGUUGAAGCUCCACUCCAGCCUGGGUGACAGCAAGACCUUGUCUCAAAAACAAAUAAAUAAAUAAAUAAAUAAAUCACAAAGAGUAGCUGGUUAAAAGAUCCCUAGAUCCCCUUUCUUGGGAUCAUGCCCAGUUUUGUGACCUGGGGUUAGUUAACUUCCUUGUGACUCAUUUCCUCAUGUGUAAAAUGAAGAAAAUAAUAGUGCCUGCCGGGCGCGGUGGCUCACGCCUGUAAUCCCAGCACGUUGGGAGGCCGAGGCGGGCGGAUCACGAGGUCAGGAGAUCAAGACCAUCCUGGCUAACACGGUGAAACCCCGUCUCCACCAAAAAUACAAAAAAUUAGCCGGGCAUGGUGGCGGGUGCCUGUAGUCCCAGCUACUCGGGAGGCUGAGAAUGGCGUGCACGCAGGAGGUGGAGCUUGCAGUGAGCCAAGAUUGCGCCACUGCACUCCAGCCUGGGUGACAGAGCAAGACUCCGUCUCAAAAAAAAAAAGGAAAGAAAAUAAUAGUGCCCCACUCUGUUGUGGCCUGUUGUGGCAUUCAAGGAGUGAAUAUAAGUAAAGUACUUCCAGAUUUAUUAGAAGGCACUAUAUGUAUGUAUGUGUGCAUAUAUAUAUACACACACAUAUAUAUGUCCCAUAUAUGUCUCAUAUGUAUGUCCCAUAUAUAUGUGUGUGUGUGUGUGUGUGUAUAUAUGUAUAUAUGUAUGUCUUAGCUAAUUUGAAGCCAUCUUUUGUCUAGAUCUUCAGAGCAUGGGACAAACAGAUUUGAGAGAAGCUUGCGAAGUACUGAAAGUGAUAAAGAACUUGGUCUUGAGCUGGUGACCUUGUGAGUUAUCCUCUCUGUACCUCAGUUUUCUCAUCUGUAAAAUGGAGAUGCCAAUAUCUGCUGUUGGAUGCCAAUAUCUACUACAAGGUUGUUGUUAUGCAUAUUAAGUAAUAUAAUGCAUGCAAAAUGCUUAGCACAGUGCCUGGCAUAUAAUAAGUAACCAAUUAGUGGAUUCUCUUGUUAUUUUUGUGAGGCUAUGAAGAAACUGAAAGCUGAGGACAGGUAGCCUAGGCUAGGUACCUAGGUACCUAGGAUGAGAAAUCCUUGAACAUGAGCCCAGUUAUUCUGCCAGCAAACACUUAUUUUAUUGUAGUAAGAUAUAUGUAACAUAAAAAUUACUAUUUUAACCAUUUUUAAGUGUACAAUUCACUGGUGUUAAACACAUUCACAUUGUUGUGUAACCACCACCACUAUUCAUCUACAGAAAUUUUGUUACCCAAACAGAAACUCUGUAUCCAUUAAACACUAACUCCCCAGUACUCCCUUCCCCAGCCCCUGGUAACCACUAUUCUAAUUUUGUCUCUAAGAAUUUGACUAUUCUAAGUACCUCAUAUAAGUGUAAUUAUACAAUAUUUGUUUUUUGUAUCUGACUUAUUUCACUUAGCACAAUGUUUUCAAGGUUCAUCUAUGUUGCAACAAUGUCAGAAUUUCUUUUCUUUUUAAGGUAAAUAAUAUUCCAUGGUAUGUAUAUACUACAUUUUGUUUAUCUAUUCAUCUGCCCAUGGACAUUUGGGUUGUUUCCACCUUUUGGCUAUUGUGAAUAAUGCUACUAAUCUGUCAUGGGAUUAGAGUGAGAAAGAAAGAAUAAAAAAAUAAUGCUGCUAUCAA
RNAcentral lists this long non-coding RNA (3034 nucleotides) under Pongo abelii (Sumatran orangutan). RNAcentral describes it as "bidirectional promoter lncRNA". Lineage: Eukaryota; Metazoa; Chordata; Mammalia; Primates; Hominidae. The record is from RNAcentral.